RNAcentral lists this ribosomal RNA (485 nucleotides) under uncultured bacterium. Its description in RNAcentral is "partial 16S ribosomal RNA". It matches the Rfam family "Bacterial small subunit ribosomal RNA", at positions 30 to 508 of the family's 1533-position model. The record is from RNAcentral.
AUUGAACGCUGGCGGCAGGCCUAACACAUGCAAGUCGAGCGGAUGAAGGGAGCUUGCUCCUGGAUUCAGCGGCGGACGGGUGAGUAAUGCCUAGGAAUCUGCCUGGUAGUGGGGGAUAACGUCCGGAAACGGGCGCUAAUACCGCAUACGUCCUGAGGGAGAAAGUGGGGGAUCUUCGGACCUCACGCUAUCAGAUGAGCCUAGGUCGGAUUAGCUAGUUGGUGGGGUAAAGGCCUACCAAGGCGACGAUCCGUAACUGGUCUGAGAGGAUGAUCAGUCACACUGGAACUGAGACACGGUCCAGACUCCUACGGGAGGCAGCAGUGGGGAAUAUUGGACAAUGGGCGAAAGCCUGAUCCAGCCAUGCCGCGUGUGUGAAGAAGGUCUUCGGAUUGUAAAGCACUUUAAGUUGGGAGGAAGGGCAGUAAGUUAAUACCGUGCUGUUUUGACGUUACCAACAGAAUAAGCACCGGCUAACGUCGUGC